AAAACACCCUGCCCCGACACGCUUCCCCAACCCUCCCGCAACCUCUCCUUCCCCGAGCGCCUCAUUCCCGCCGCCGCCCUCGGAACCCGCCGCCGCACACGCCCUCCGCGGAACCCGCCGCCGCGCGCGCCCUCGCCGGAACCCCCGCUGCCACGAGCCCCUGCCGCCGUGCGCCCUCCCCGGACGCCUCGCCGCAGCCCGCCCUCCCCGGACCCCCGCGCCGCUGUGCCACCACCGGGAUCCAAUCGCCAACGAGAUCCUCUCUGCGACCCCCCGCCCAGUUGUGGUCAUUGCCAGAUGCCUCGCUGCCGCCAAACGCCCUCUUCCUUCCGGCAGCCACGCACCGUCCGAGCGCCGCCGUGCCUUCUCGCACCAGUCUCCUCCCGCCAUGCCCCUGCAGGAAGCUGGUGCCGCUGCAAGAAGUUCAAAUGUCAUAGCAGCGGCCGGACGGAUUUGAUACACGGUGCUCCCUCCCAUAAAGUGGUUGUGCUAGACGAGGAAUCAAACUCGCCUCCGCUUCUAGCAACCCCACCACUGUUGGAGAGGAGAGGAGGAAUGCAAGCAUGAUUGGGCUGGGAUACCUGAGCCAAGGUGAGAGGCCAAUUGGAUUCCAUCUCUCUCAGUUAUAUAGUUAUGGUACUCCACAUCCCAUGUGAAGUUGUGGGAGAUGGGAUGAUAUAAUUGGUGCCCACUGAUUGAGUUGAAUUGAAUAGAGACAAGCUGAAUUGCAUCAUGCAUAGUAUGCUGGUGUCAAAUUCACAACCACCCUAGCAGCAGAUGCCAAGCAAGUUAGUGUAGGUGUUUUAUAUCUAGGCUGCAUGGUUGGUUGAUGAUGGAUGAUGAUGUGCUAGUGCUGCUGUUGUAGGGUUUAUAGAAUGAAUGAUUCUGCAUCGCUCAUGUCAAAGUCAUGCCUUCUUCUUUAAUCAAGUGCCUACUUUGUAUA
This is a long non-coding RNA of Aegilops tauschii subsp. strangulata, 943 nucleotides long. RefSeq lists it as uncharacterized. The record is from RefSeq and is a predicted model, not a curated record. NCBI's taxonomy places the organism in Eukaryota, Viridiplantae, Streptophyta, Magnoliopsida, Poales, Poaceae.